AGGAAUAUUGGUCAAUGGGCGCAAGCCUGAACCAGCCAUGCCGCGUGCAGGAUGACGGUCCUAUGGAUUGUAAACUGCUUUUGUACGGGAAGAAACACUCCUUCGUGAAGGAGCUUGACGGUACCGUAAGAAUAAGGAUCGGCUAACUCCGUGCCAGCAGCCGCGGUAAUACGGAGGAUCCAAGCGUUAUCCGGAAUCAUUGGGUUUAAAGGGUGCGUAGGCUGUGAGGUAAGUCAGCGGUGAAAUGCCCCCGCUCAACGGGGUGAAGUGCCAUUGAUACUGCCUUGCUGGAAUGCGGAUGCCGUGGGAGGAAUGUGUGGUGUAGCGGUGAAAUGCAUAGAUAUCACACAGAACACCGAUUGCGAAGGCAUCUCACGAAUCCGCGAUUGACGCUGAUGCACGAAAGCGUGGGUAUCAAACAGG
Molecule: ribosomal RNA, 423 nt
Filed under: uncultured bacterium
Lineage: Bacteria
Description: bacterial SSU rRNA
Rfam family: Bacterial small subunit ribosomal RNA
Source: RNAcentral